RNAcentral lists this ribosomal RNA (411 nucleotides) under uncultured bacterium. RNAcentral describes it as "bacterial SSU rRNA". It matches the Rfam family "Bacterial small subunit ribosomal RNA", at positions 505 to 916 of the family's 1533-position model. The record is from RNAcentral.
GUGCCAGCCGCCGCGGUAAUACGAAGGGGGCUAGCGUUGCUCGGAAUCACUGGGCUUAAAGGGCGCGUAGGCGGCUCACCAAGUCAGGGGUGAAAUUUUGCGGCUUAACCGUAACGGUGCCUUUGAUACUGGUAGGCUCGAGGGGGACAGGGGUCCGCGGAACUUCUGGUGGAGCGGUGAAAUGCGUUGAUAUCAGAAGGAACGCCGGUGGCGAAAGCGGCGGACUGGAUCCUUUCUGACGCUGAGGCGCGAAAGCUAGGGGAGCAAACGGGAUUAGAUACCCCGGUAGUCCUAGCCCUAAACGUUGGGUACUAGAUUGUAAGCGUACAUGCGCCUACAGUCGAAGCAAAAGUGUUAAGUACCCCGCCUGGGGAGUAUGGUCGCAAGGCUGAAACUCAAAUGAAUUGACGG